UUCCUUUUGGCCUAAAUUUAUGUUUUGAUCAUAGUUCUGUCUGAAGGACAAAAUUUCUUUCUGAGAUCUGCACAUCGAUGCUCAACUCUAAUAAGCAGCUCUCACUUUGAGUGGAUCACCCAGUGAGAUCAAUGGGACUUCUGCAUACAGCGUAAGAACAGUGUAUUAGAGAUUCAGAAAUGUUAAGAGAAGAAUACCUACAGUCUUCAAAUCUGAGCUCCUCUGUAUGCGGACCAUGGGCAGGCUCAGCAAUCCCAGUUUCCAGCUACCCUUGUAUGGAAGGUGCUCCAAGCCCUUAAUCAUCUUUGUGAACCUUCACUGGACUUGCUCAGGUUAGCUUUUAUGGAGAACAUAAAGAACUGGAAUGCAAACGCAAGUGUGAACAGAGGGCCAGUUAAGGUACUCAUUCAGAAACCUGAAGGAUCAGCUAUGUCUUAAAUAACACCUCCUUCUGGGGACUUAAGGUAGGGAGAAAUGCUCACCAUCUUUCAGGGUUUCUUUUGAAAAAAAUAAAUGUAAAAAUUCUUUCUUUUAAACAGAUGGCUAAAAAGUAGCUGUUUCCUCUUCUCCCCUCAUUUAUCUCAGUAGCUAAACUACUCACUGAAGAGGUAGAGUACUUCAGUUCACAGCUUCUUCUAUCCAGGGAAUUGAAAUUCAAAUUUAAAUCCUUAUCUGUCUUUCUAGAGAGUGCUUCAUCACCACUGUAUGUUGCACCAUGUGUAUAUCUGUACGUAUGUAAGAGAGCAUUUUUCUCAGUCUUUUUAGGGAAAGAGUUUAUUUUGCAUGACAUACUAAUUAGGGAGCAGGUGCACCCCUUUGCAGUCUAAGCUCAUAGUUAGAACACUUUCCUGGAUGGCAGGAAAAAUACAGAUACCCUAAAACACAGGAAUUAAUUCAAAACAGACCUCCUGCACUGUGCUUUGUUCUGAGGACUGGAUAAAAAGAUUUACCAAUGAUUACCACUCUUGUAUUCCUCUAAUACUACAUUUUAGAGUUCUUGUGAAAUUAAAAUUGAGCAUUUUGUACUGAAACAGGUUUUUUUUUCUUUAUUACUAAUAGAAAAAAUAGAAGCUGAUCUUUGCAAUAGCAUUCCCAUAUAGACUCCAGAGAGAUAUUUUAUUGUAUUUAGGGCAAGAACUAAUUCAGAGAAAGGCUCUUUUGUUCACCAUCUAUGAAUCUUGACCUUGACCUGGAAAGUCUAUCCUCAGUGUUGCAUGUGGGGCAAUUAAGCUUCUGUGAAGAAAAACAUCCCUAUCAUAGCAAAAUAUGUCAAGUGUAUCAGAGCUCAAACCUCCAAUCUAAUUUUAUUCUUUUUAAAUGAGCCAAGCUGCUUAAAAUUAACUUGAAUGAACAGAGAACAAAAGCAUUUAAUAGGUCCGAGAAACUUAAGUUUCUUUACUCUGUUUUGGGUUGUUAGGAUGUUUAUUUGUUUGUUUGUUGUGGGGUGAGCACAUUUCCAAAGACAUAGAUAUCCAACACCAGCCAUGGGGCUCAGACAUUUCAUUUAACUGAGCUACACUGGCCUAAGGAGUUCCUGUGCACCUCCUGAAUCUUGUAGCUGUUAGUAACAGCUCAUGUGCUUGCUAAUAGCCUUCCCUUCUUUUGAAUUAAUAUAAGGUAGGGAAAACCUCAGAGGAACAGGCUGUUGCAUUUAACCUGGGGAGGCAGGCUGGAGUGCACAUAUGCACACACUGGCCCUUUAUGGCAGCUCAGCUGAUGGAAGUUCCUUACUACCUUUCUAGAGCCCAGUGGUUAAUACACUGAUCACCCAUAUCCUUUAACAGACUGUGGUUGGGUGAAAGGUGGGAAGCAUGCCCAACCAGAGCACGUGUUGAACAAAUUAUGGUCAGACAGCUCAACGAUUUUUUUUCACAAAGCAAAGAUGCUUUAAAAUUCACGGGUCCUCAAGAGGACACUAAAGGAGCAUAACACAAAAUCCUUGAUAUUCUGUUUUCUGUCAGUAGUGUCUGACCAAAGUAAAGGUUUGCAUGUCUCCAAAAGCUGCAGGUAAUCAUUGUUUUGCUGAGAUCUAUACUUAAACAUACUAACAUUUAAAUUCAUUUAUUGUUUCUGCUGACUCCCUAGCAGGUGCUAUUUUUACUGUAAGUACAUAAGGGAUUGUUAGGGAACUUGGUCACUGUUAUACACAGGAGUAAAUCUCAUUCACUUCAGGUCUCCAAAAUGUUCAAUCUGUUUUGCUAAAUCCUCAUUUUGUUAUAUAUCCAAUGCAUCCAGAAGCUCUUUUUAUCUUAAGUCUUUGAAAAAAUGCUGAAAAUGACAUGUAACUCAGCUUAUCAUUUUCCUUGUAAAAUCAAUGCUUCUAGAAUGCUGGAUCCCAGAGUUUUGCAAUUUUUCAUUGAUCUCAUUCACCCUGUUUCCCAUGAGAGCUUUUCUGAAAUACUGCUAUUGAGUAACAUUCUUGCUAGUAUGAAGGGAAUAGAGAAGGAAAAACCUUUGCUGGUUGAGUAAAAUGCAGAAUGACACAAAACAUCCAAUUCAGCCUCCUUUAGGGUGUUUAAGACACAGAACUCAUUUUUCUGGAUGAAAAGCAGACAGUGACACUGCCAGCAGCAACUGUGUCAGCUCAGGUUCUCCCAGCAGGAGGGACAUACAGGGUGGCUGGAGUGGGAAACGCAACAGAUGCCACAAAUGGAAGUGCUCAUUUAGAGCCCAUAUUUUAGAUAAAAUGAGACGUGGGGCAUAUAAAACUUAACAUUGACUCCUCAGAAUAUAACAAACACAACUGCUCACUAAUGAGAAGUAUAGAACAAUGAGAUCUAUUUAAAAUGGGGGUCCUAGCUUAUUUUCAGAGCAUCUAGAUGUGGGUGAAUAAUGAAUGGUUUAGCCACAAAACUUUUCAAGAGAAAAAUUAGGGAAGAAUAAAAGGGAAAUGUUUUGAGCAGCAAAAAACCUUUCCCCCACUCCCAGAAUACUUUAAUAAAUUACAUAGUAAUUGCAUUAUAUGCCAUUUAGUUAACCAAAAUGCUUCAUAUCCUAUUUUAUAUUUAUCCUCAUUAAAAAAGUCUAUUGUAUCUCUUUUUAAAGGAAAAAAAAUAGAGACAUUUUUUAAGAACCUAAAUAUCGGAAAGAGCUAAAUAUAUAUUUUAAAGAAGAAAAAAAAGUAAUUUUGAAGACUCAUGCACAAUACAAAAAUAAGUCACUUCAAGUUCAACUACAUAAGCCUCUUAUACUCCUUUUGAUAAAAUAGAAAUUAAUUUUAAAGACAAAAUAUUUUAAAAUAAAUGUUUCAAAUAUGACUGCCUUGCAGAGUUUACAAUCAAUUAAAAUAAAAUUAAUCACAUUUUUUCAAAGUAAUUUAAGCAUAUUUGGAUGCUCCUCAAGCCUUUAAAAUAAGUGACAGAUAUUGAUUAAGUUUAGCAGUUUCCCAGCACUUACUUGUUAUUGGAAUGGUUCUGUGAACAAAGCUGUUUGUGUUAACUUGGGACUAAUUAAUAAAGCAGUGCCUGCCAUGAUCUGUAGAUCAUCAAAACCCUGAUUAGGAGGGCUACAGUGACUUUGUUUCUCUGUAUAUAUAAAGUGAUCAUUUCCACUGCCUACUAUAGAAACAAAAAUUUACCUACAAAACCUACCUGAUUCUUAAAGGAAAGGAGAAUAUGUGAAUUGCUAGCUACAGCUAAGGAAAAGUUCUUUUUUUUUUUUUAACCUAUUUUAAUUUUAUUUUUUUUUAGUGAUUACAUUCUGUCAAUCUACUUAUAAAGGUGACAGACACUUCAUUCUUAUUAUAUAUAUUAUUCUCUAAUAGGUUCUACCAUAAUACCUUUUACCUGAAGUUCAGUAUAUUCUCUAGAUUGUUGCUCAAUUAAAAUGUGCUAUGUCUGCUUAUCUGCACUGGAAAAGUGCAGGAAUCUAUUUACAGCAGCAAGGCAAAAAGAUAUGGAAAGGUCCAUGGCCCUGCAUUAUUGCUGGCGUACUUAGCAAACACUAGGUUACUGCUGCUUGAAGCCCAGACAGAGAACUGCAGUUGCUUGUGUUUUCUCAGGAAUGCUUUUUCUCCAUUCAUGCCUCUUCUUUUACUUUGAACUCAUACAAGCAAUCAGUCUCUUAAAUUCCUCAGAUGUUUUAUCCAUAAAGCAGUUACCUGGUGGCCCUCUCGUCAUCUUCAUGUGAGCCUCAGGUGUGGCUUGAAUAUGCUACAGCUCUGCAUAAGGUGAGUUACAUAUGGGUGAGUGGCAGAAGAGAGGUGCAAAUAGCUUGAGACGGGCAAUGAUGAAGAUUACAAACAGCACUUACAUGUCAUUGUUUCCAUGACCUGUUUCAUUUCAUGAGUGGUCUGGGGUUAAAAAUACUGUUCUGCCUGCUGCACAGUUUGCUUGUGAUUCAGGCAGACUAUGUCUGUCAGAGAGAACUAUAGGCAAAUACAGCUAGAUUAGACGUGCCAAGGCUGACUUCCACUGGGGCAUGCUUUGUACAGCUUCUUUUGUAUUUAGCUCACCUGGAAAAGCUGUUGUUUCCAGACCACCAGAGUCCCAGGAUGAACCUCAGCUGUGGUAACGUUUAGGAUGCAUGCACAGCUAUUCUGGGUCCUGCAUGGGAAAUUCUGCUAAUUGGGUAAACCCACUGUAGUGUACAGGCACCAACUGGCAGACACAACUUUCACAAUGAGAGAGAUCCAUAAUUUUCAAAUGUAACUAACAAUUUGUGACAAUAAAGCAGCAACACGAGCCAAGAUGCUGGCACUUCUUCUUGUCACCUCUUUCAAGCACGGUAACUAGAAUUUGCAUUUGUUUCUUUUCCAAAAGCAGUAACUUAUUUUAUAAAGAAGGCAUUUAAUGCGUACAUUUUCUUUGGCACAAUUUUAUUUUUAAACCAAAGUCUCUGAAGAGUUUAGUCUCAUCUCUUUUAAGAAAAGAACCUGAACAAUAUUUAAUUAAAAUUGUAUCCAACCACAGAAAUGUUAUUAUCCAUAGGCACUGAGAUCAGAAUUGUCUCAAAAAGGGUAAAUAACAUAAUUGUGAUAAAGGAAGGUGAAGAUGAUGGAAUUAUACGAAAUUAUGAGUGACAGACACGGCAAAACAAAAAUUCGUGUUUAAACUUUCUUAUAGUAAUAAAAGGAUGGUCAGUGAAUUGGAAAGGUAGUGCAUUUCAAACCCACAAAAGCAAACAGUUUAUUAACAUACAGCCUAGCUGCCCAUCGUCAUUCAUGAUACAGCAUCAUGGUUACACAGACUGUAACUGACUACAUCUGUGUCUCCCUUGUGCAGUGCAUACCCCUGGCUAUUAGCACUCCUUGGAGGGGAAUGUACAUUUUUUUCAUUUUUAGAUCACGCCCUGGGCUACGAUACAUAGGAUAUUUAUCACUUUUACCCUGCAGGUUAAAAUUCAUACAGAAGUCACACACACAGAUCACACACACAGAAUCUCUAGGUUGGAAGAGACCUCAAGAUCAUCGAGUCCAACCU
Anas platyrhynchos (mallard) is the source of this 5420-nucleotide non-coding RNA. The record is from RefSeq and is a predicted model, not a curated record. Lineage: Eukaryota; Metazoa; Chordata; Aves; Anseriformes; Anatidae.